AAAUCCCAGUCUUUGCUCAAAAGUCGCCCCUGGGGGCCACCCUACUUCGCAUUGCAAUCCACCCACCCUGCACGCCAGCACCCUCAGCGCCCCCAAAGCUGCUCUGUUUGGUGGUAAAGAAGGGCAUGGCAGUGUCCACAGGGAAAGAAGGCUGCCUGUUUUCAUGCCUCUAACAGCAAGGAGACAGGUCUGGAAGCGUCCAGCAGACUGUUCCCCCCGUGUCAUUGGCCAGAACUGCAUGACGUGCCCACCUCUGGCCCAAUUAGGAGCAGAGGGCUAGAACGACCAGGCCUGGCUGAGACCUGAGCUGGUCCCGCCUCCCCAAGGCCUGGGCCCUGUAGAGGGGAUCAGGGACACAGGAGGAGAGCUGGGGCUCUGCGAGGGAGAAGGGGAAGGAUGCGGGGGCAGCUGAGGGGUGUCUGCUGUGAGCUCCCUGAUCUCAUAUCUCAUUUAAUCCUUGCACCAGCCCGGUGGAGGAGGUGCUGUUGUUUCCUCCCAAUUUAUAGUGGAAUUUAAAUUGAGAUUAAAUCUAAAAGAUUAAAUGAUUUUCCCAGGGUCGGAAUCUGGAAUUUAACCCCAGAUCCUUCCAGGUCGUUUGAAGAGCCACUGUGCUGAACUGGGGGAGGUACCCCAGGGAUGAGGGGCCUGGUGACAGUGAUAACCAGACAGGGCUCCCCAGGAGUCAGGGAGAGGCAGGUGGAGAGGAGGUCUGAGUGCUCAGCUCCGCAAAACUGGUGGCCUAGCUGUGGAGCAGAGGGCGUGCUGACCCCCAGGCUGGGGCCUGAGCCUGGAACGAGGGCAGGACAGGAAGGGGGCAGCUCACUGAUGGAUGCCUCCAGCACAGAAGGUGGGGAUUUGAGAGAGGCUGCACACACGUAGCAGUGGCGGAAAAGAAGCCGAGGCGGAGAAGAUGUUUGGGGGGCCACUGGUAGCGCAGUGAGGGGAGGUCCAGGGGCCCUGGGCAGCCCUCCCUGUGAAGCCCAGUGAGCUGUCCAGCCCGCCUGGCCCUUGUGGCUCCAGCCCCUCUGGAGUCCUGGUGGCCAACUGAGGUCUGUCUUCUGGCUGAGCCCCUCACCAGAGGCUGGCUAAGGCCUCCCGCGCUUCCAUAGACCAACGAAGUCCAUCUACAGAGGACGAAAGCCAGGGAAUGCUCAGCUGCAACAGCCCCUAGAGCCCGGCUGGCAGGAACAGGAAGGGGGCUCCCGGGCUGGGUGUGGAAGUCAGUGGAGACCAGCGACAGGACUGCGGGAGGUGUAGUGGGCAAAACAGAUGGCCCUCCGCGCCGGCCCGGCACAGCACGGCUUCCCCGGAACACUGCCCCUCCCCGGCCGCCCUGGAGGCCAGGGACCCCCAUUCAGGCUGCAGUGUCCAACCUGCAGGGUGGAGAGGGAGGGGCCCUGGGUUCUGGAAAAGGCAAACUGCUGAGGCCCCCCCCAGAAGCAGGGAAUUCACGCCUUCUGCCUGCUCUUACUAGGCAGCCUGGGGCUUCCUGCUGUGGGAACCUCAGGUCUGGGGGAGGAAUGGGGAAGACUUAUGGAAAAGGGGGGUCUCUGUGCUGCACCCAAAGCCAGAUUCCCAGUGGCCGAGAAGGGGUGGAAGGAGCCCCCGCGCUGAGGUGCCGAUGCUCACUGCUUUCAUCAGAGCAACUCAAACGAGGCUUCUCCUUUCUCUCCAGAAACGGGGGCUGAUUGCAGGGCGUUGUGUAAAGCAUCAAGGUCUGAGCUUGUAUCUGUGGUUUAAAGUCCGGCCACACACGCUGGCAACGUGCCGGUAGGAAACGAGUGAGCGCCUCACCCCAAGCUGGCCCAGGCAGGGGGGUGGACGCCCCUGGCACAGACCUCCCAGUGGAGGCCUGUGCCGGUGAAUGGAGAGCAGCGGCCUGAGUUGGUCCCUUGUGUCCCGCAGAAAAUGGGCUCUGUGUGGGGUGUGAGAGGGAGGGGCCGUCGCCGUUGGAUUUGGGGUCUGUGUCAAGCAGCCCAACAGAGGUGGGGCUGGGGACCCCGAGGCAGUGAAGGGAAAGGGCCGUCAGCCCGUGAAGGAACUUCUGAGAAUCCAGGUCCUUCACGGUCCUUGGGGGCAGCACAUAAAGCAGGGCUGGGGGACGGGAAGCCCAGGUCUGCCCCUCCCCUCCUCCCGGCCUCGUGUCCUCCUUUGUCUGAAGGGUCUGGGGGCCGGGUGUUGCCACCACACAGAUGUACUAGCAAAGUUCCUGGACUCCUUGCUGUCCUCGUGAGCCACAUAAAACCAGCAGGGGUUUUAGGCGAGCAGGCAGAGGCAAGACGAGAGUAACCAUCCUCUUAAAGGCUCUUCAAACACUCCACCAACUCGCAGUGUGUGCAUGAUUCCUAGACAUGCUGGACCCUCCACGUGGGCGGCAGGGUGUGGAAGUGAAACGGAGCCCACCCACCCUGAGGGCCAACUGUGCCCCGAGACCGUCCCUGGGAUCGGGGCUGUGUGGCCCCCUUCGCAUCUGCUCCCAAAGCCCAGGGCAGCACCUGAUACCCAAGGGUGACGAGUCCCUGGCCGUGUCGUGAGGCCCGGGCCAGCUUCUGACCUCAGUUUCCACAGCGCAAAGGCUGAGCGUGUCCGCUGUGGUUUGAGAAGCAUGUUUACAGACAUCAGCCCCUCAAAGGAGACCGGUCUCUGCAGCCCAGGGCACCCUUGACACUGCAGCCCACGCUCAGUGGCUGUGAUCCGCCCAGUGGGCUGGGAGCUGAGCUGUGAGGGGCAGGAAGCAGAGUGGCAGCUUUCUGUGCAGGUCACACCUCCUCACCUGGCCGUGACCAAGGCCAGCUCCUGGGCAUCAGUCGGGAAGCCACUCGGGUAACCUGGGCAGGAGGCACCAGACUGUGAAAGUUGGAGACGUCUAAGGAUGGCCUAGAGGCUACUGCAUGCCUGUGGUGUCACCAGCAGGGCCUGGCAAUCAGGCUGCGCUCAAGGAACACUGAGCCACGUGAGCGUGGGGCUGGCCUCCGCAGGUGGCCACGUGCGGGUCCAGAGGCCGAGCCAGGGAGAAAUCACAGCCUCCAUCUCACAAUGGAAACAUCAGGUUAAAACAAAGAACAUGGCUCUCCCUCCCUUCUAGCAAUCCUUGAAAAAUAUCUUGCAAAACUAAGGUUGUUUCUACCCAACUCACUGUUCCUUUGAUUCAUUCAUGCCCCACUCAGUUCCCCUCCUGUCAAUCAGACAUCUCCGGUGCACAGUGGGCUCUGAAGAAGAGAUGGAAGUGGCAGGCCCCAGGUCCAAGGUAAAGAUGCGCUGCGUUGGCCGUGAGUGUUGUCACAAGGCACACCUGGUUCCAAUCCUGGCAGGCCCCUGCCUGUGUGUCCCCACUGCAGAAGGGGGACUAAUAGUGGCCUCAGAGUUGGUGCCGCGCAAGGGAGGGAGGUCCUCCUGGUACCCUCGAGAACACUGUCUCCGUCGUCCCAUUUGAUAGACACAAAUACCCCAGUGAGGAAUACAGGAAAGGCGUCCCAGAGAGCGGCUGACCUCACGCAGUUCCUCUGUGACACCGGACCUCAGGCAGGUCCACACACCCCAGCAGGAAUCUCCUUGGUCUGCUUAGCCCCCGUGAUACCGUUCAGAUGGGGACAUCCAAAGCGACCCCUCUGCCCCCAACUGCUUCUUUUCCAGACACCUGUGGGGGCAUCUCGGCCUCUUCUCCAUUUCUUUUCUAGCACUUACCAUAAUCUGUAAUUGUUUAUUUGUGGGUGCUGUUGGCUCCCUCUGCUUUUCUGCAGGUGCCCUUGGGGAGGGGCCUCGUCUGUCUUGCUUCCUCUCGGCCCCAUUUCCUCGAUGUUCUCAGUGGGCUAGACCUGGGCGGCAUCUCCCUUCCAGGACCGAUAUUUAGAAACUGUCUCCAGGCAGUAAGCUGGGGCAGCCGUACCGCUCACCUUCUCUGUUUUUGUUUCGUUUUGUUUUUUGACUGCGCUGCACAGCUUGUGGAAUCUCAGUUCCCCCCACCAGGGAUUGAACCCCGGCCACAGCAAUGAAAGCCCGGAACCCUGAUCACUAGGCCUCCAGGGAACUCCCACCUCCUUUGUUUCUUGUCUCUCACUGCCUUUUGUUGCCUUGAUGUCCGUUGUUUUGAGACCAUUGUUUUGUAUAUUUGGUACAUCUUUUGGAUGUUGGGAGGGGAUGGGUAGUGAUGCCAACUCUGGGCCUUGUUACUCCACCUUGGCCGGAAGCUGCAGUCCCAAAUAUAAGCUUUUAACGCUGCAUUUCUUGACUGAAAAGACAGCAGCUACUGCGAAAAAGCAAAACUGAGUCCGUGUUGUUCUAAAUCGCUCUCUGGUUGCCGGGCUCAUUAUCUUUACAGGCAUCAGGGGUGUUUAAUGAAUACAGCAGACAAAGCCUCAUUGAGUCCCAGGAGAGAGGGUGUCGUGACCCCUGAGAUAUCAUGACAGCUCCUGCCUGUCUGUCGUGUUUGCAGAAUCUUGGCAGGGAGCGAGGGGGAGUGACAGAGAAGUCAGCUCCACGACAGCCUCGUGUCAGGGGCUUCACGCUCUGGUGGCCUCAGCACCCUCCUCCGUCUGACCACCUGCCUCUCACAAGGCGUCACCCUCCCCUUGAACCUUGGCGCCGAGUGGCUUCCUCUCCUCGGCCACAAGUGACCUUCCCCUUGCACAUCAGCACCUCCUGUGUCUCCUCUCCUCUUGGAGCCUGCCGUCUCCUUGAGCAAGGUGAUCAGGUCUUGGGCAGCUGGCAUUAGACCCGGGAAGGGCACAGUUUACAUCUAAUUCACCUCUGUACUCCCAGCUCCUAGCACGGUGCCAGGCACAGAGGGUGAUUAGUAAAUGUGUGGUGGAUGAAUGAACAAAUGAAUGGAUGAGUGAGAACCUUCAUGAUUCUGUCUUCUCGAAUAUGAGCCAUCCGUCUGCCCACAGGGUAAAUGGUCUUAUCACAUCUGGAAAGGAGUACUGGCCACGCCCAAUGAGAAGGAAGUUCAGGCAGGGGCAGACCUGGCCUGCAGCCUGAAGAUCCUGGGGUCCUAAUCCUGGCCCCUGGGAAAGCUGCUUGAUCCCCAGCCUCAGCAUUUAUUCUCUUUUCUGAAAUGACACCUCCUAGGCUUCCUCAGACUCCGACAUCCCCUGAUCUUUUCUAAUGUAAAAGGCAUGAGUCAAGCAAGGAUAAAUAAGGAUGCAUUCUUUGAACACAAUAGCUGUUUUCUUGGCAAAAUCCAAGAUUUAUGCCUUGGACUGUUCACAAAACACCUCCCUUGCUUGGGGUGGUUUCCUCACAUGCAAGUGGUGAGCAGUACACUGCUGAAUAUUAGAGGGGGACCCUCUGCAGAAGGACCCUCUAGAACAAACCUCCCUGCUUUCAUUAUCAACUGUGUUUGAAAAAAGUCAGCAAGAAGGAAAUUCCCACCUCAUUAACAGCGAAUAUAAAGGAAAGAACAUCACGAGACGCACUCUGAAAUUUAGCGUCUAAUUCCAAACGAAGUUUAGAAUCAACCCUUUCUUCUGUUUCAAGUUGAUGGAAUUUCUCAACAGGGGCCCUGGUGGCAUUCUGGAGGGACAAGUCUACCUUGCGUGGGAAUAUCCGGGUCACUGUUGUUAAUAUCCAUAGCUGCUAGGCGACCAAAGACAGCCCCCACACCCGGAUUUCCAAAUGCCCCCAGGAGGGAUGCUGCCCCUGGCUGAGGCCACACACUGGUAGAUGAAUGCCCUGGCCAUGGGAGUGUUGGGUAAAUUGUGGGCCACUGGUGUGAGGGUUACCAUGGGCUGCAGGCUUGACCCUGGACACUUGCCCAGAGGUGUCAUAGCCUGGGUGGUAGAAUGGACAGAAAACAAAAUUGCUUCCCUUGGCAGUGAAAAUGCAAACCAUUGGGGGCCGGGACCCCGUGUAUCUGGUUGCUCUUCUGAUUCUCCAGCAAUGACCACUGUUGUGGGGAAUAUCUGUCCCCAGUCACCCUGGGGAGACUGAGCGAAGCCAGAGGCACCCCCAAGAUGAACAAUGAGGGGGAAGGAUUUUGUGUUUGAUAUUUCACAGAAAAAGCACUGAAGAAGUUCAUCAUGGGGAAAAAUGAGAAUCCUUUCGGAUUGCCUCUCCCUUAUUCUAGAGUGUGUUCCCCUUUUGAAUUCUAUAUUCUCUAUCUCUUCAGUGUUGCACUUUCUAAAGGCCGGCUUUCACCGGGCUGAGAGCAGCCGUGUGGCUCAGUGACAUCCUGUUCCAGUCAUUUCUUAGGAUGCUUUUCUGAAUCUGCUUGGUUUCUGUGUGGAUCUGAGCUCCACCUCUGGGGACCUUGCACCUGUUAAUGGGGCUUUAGCACCUGUUCCCUGGGAAGCACAUAAAGGCUUCCUGGAUCUCCUAAUCCAGAUGCAACAAUGCCACAAUUUGAUAACAGUUUGGUAACCUGUAACCCCUCCCUUCUCUCCAUUUUUCCUUGUUCCCAACAGGAGUAUACAAGAGUACAAGCACUUGGGGAAAACAGCACGGCAAUUCCUUACAAAGUUAAUCAUACACAAACCACAGGAUCCAGUGAUCCCAUUCCUAGGUGUUUAUCCGAGAGAAACAGGAACACGUGUCCAUAUCAAGAAACUCCCAACGCUACCUCGUGUCCCACUGAGGAAAGCUGGUGGUCGGGGCCGGUGAUCAUCAUCGCGGUCUGUUGUGCCUCCCUGGUGUUUCUCACUGUGCUUGUCAUCAUUUGCUACAAAGCCAUAAAGAGGUGAGUGCUCACCCAGCUCUGAGCCCAGAGGGGAGCCCAGCUGGGCUCAGGGGUCCUCUGCCCACCCCCAUUCUGUUUUUGGUUGUUUUUUAAUAAUAAAAAUUGUUAAGCGUUUAAGAAGCAGAAAGAAUGUACAGUGAACACCCAUCUACCUUCACCUCGAUUCAACAGUUACCAAGAUCUGGCUAAUAUUUACUCUCUUUCCUUUUCUUUGUACCUUUUUAUUUGCUGAAGUAUUUAAAGUUGAUCUCAGAUAUUAUGCCCCUGUCCUUUUAGGGGGUUCAGCGAGCAAUUUGAUGAGCGCCAAUUAUAUGUCAGGCUCGAUGCGGUAUAAAGCUCCCCUAUCCGUAAGUCGCAGGCCCUGCUGUGAAAAGCUGUCUCCAGGCCUGGGAGCAUGGAAAUAAUCCUUGCAGGGUGGGUGAUGGAGCGGCUGGAGGGGGUGCCAUGCUGGUUUGGAGUGGGAACUGGGUUUCGGAGUCCGAUCUAAAUUCAGACUCCAGUUCAAGCUGUGUGACCAGGAGGAACUCAGCUCUCUGGCCCUCAGUUUCCCUAUUGGUAAAAUGGGAGUCAAGAAUAACGGUCUCACCCUGGGGAACGGUGAGAUGCCUUCUGUGAAUGGCCUGCAUAAUAUGUAUACUCUGCAGUGCCUGGCAUACAGUACGUGCUCACCAAGUACUGCACCAACUUUCACUGUUUCCAUAGUCAAAGACAGAGGAAGAAGGCUGACAGAGGAGGGAGCGAGGUUCUCUUGGGAGGAGAGGUAGUGAUGCCUCAGAGAAGGUUUUCCGUGAAUGUGCCACCUCAGCUGGGUUUUGAAGGAUGAAUAGGAGUGUUCCAGCAGGAUCAUGAAUGAUCCAAACAGCAAAUUAUCUUUCAAUAACACUCUCCGUCAUUUCUGUUAACUACCAUCUCACUUGAGUUGGGGUGUGCAGCUCAAUAUGGUUAUUGUUGGGGCCUGAAGAGGUUUGAGGUGUGUCCAGGGUCCUAAGUACGGCAGAAUAGGCCACGGUGUGACCCCCCCUGCACUUACAAUACAGUAGCUCUGGCUAUGUCCUUUGAUUUCCAGUUCUUAGCCUCCUCCAAAAAAAUGGCCUCCCUGGCCUUGGGGGAUGUUAGGGGAAGAUAAAAAUCAAAAGACAAACAAUAAUGUUGCAAAACGCCAGCGGGCCAUAGGGAUUGUUAAUAUGUUUUUAAGAAAGUUUUUAAAAAAUUCCCUAAGGCCCAAAGUUAGAGGAUCUAUUCUGAGCAAUCAUAAGACCAAAGUUAUUUAACUUUACCCUUUUAGUCGGUUGUUCUGUGUGAUUUCACUUUAAUCAUUCAAAAGCAGAAAGAGUAAAAUAUCAAAAGUCUUAACAUGCAUAUGGUCAGGGCUGCAUCAGGCCAACAGCCUGGGAGUGUCCUGGUGACCAGGCAGGAAAGGCAGAAGGCAUGUGAACUCUGAUGGGGAUGAAACAGCAUUUGAGCUGAGAGCCUGCUGCAGCGGGAGGACGAUUUUAAGAAGCAGAGCAGGGGAGGCAUUCCAGGCACCAGGAAGCCCCUGUGACGGGGCAGAUGAGGCUGGAGGGAACCCUGAGCCCGACGGCGGAGGCGUCUGUCCCACCAGGCGAGCUGUUGGCCCGUGAUUCAGUAGACACAGGGAGCUACUGAAGGUUCUGGGGGAACAGUGUGCAGGACCCACCUGGGGCACUGCCAGAGAACGGGGCAGCAGUCCCCUCAAGGACCCUCCUUCCCCCAGAGACAGGCUGCAGCAUCUUCUUAAUAAGCUCAGGCACUUCCAAAAGAUACAGCGUCGCUUCUGCCUCUCUCUCUCUGCCCCAAACUCUCCUGAAGAAAUGGGCUACCUGCUCCAAGGGCAGGAGGGCAGGGCGAACCAAUCAGAAGAAGUUGACGGUCACAGCUCCGCACCGUGGCGUUGAGGCCAGCGGCGGCCUUGUUUCGGCGGAGCGGCGGCCCUCACAGGUGUGUGGAGGCCCCGCCCUCACCUCCUUGGAGCAACCGGAGGGGCCUCCCGUCUCCUUCCGCUGGCUCUGGGCUCUUGGUUCCCGGGUCUGUCAGCCGCCUGGAAAGACAGAGAACUCACCCAGACGGCUCAGUGGAUCCCUUCCAUGGUGUGGCUGGGACUCCUUCCCGGAGGGUGGGCGGGGCUUCCUCCCAGGGGUGUGGGCGGGGCUUCCUCCAGGGGGUGUGGGCAGGUCCACCGAGCGGUGGAAUUCGUGAAGCAUUUCAGGACUAAAAGCGGUGGGAGCUCUUAGCACCCCUAGGACAACGGAAAUAAUACAAGGGGGAACCUAGAGAGCCCGGAGACUCGAAAGAAGGGCUAAUCAGCAGGACCUGUGGUUGGAACUGCGGGAGAUGCAGCCCCAAAACAGCAGGUGGGGGGGAGAAAACUCCCCACCCUUUCUUUCUCCAGGCUCCCAGGUCUCCUGGAGGUGCCUCCCAUUGGCCAAACCCAAGAAACAGAGGAGCCCAGGAGAUACUGCAUAGGUGUCAGCCUCCCGGGCCCACGUAGUAAACGGAGCACAGUCCCUCUUCUGCCCCAGCGCCCAGAUCAGCAACCUCCUCUGGGUGAAGACCCAGCCGUCUGCCGUCCAGACCCUCACAGUCCAGAGAGGGCAUCCCUGGCGCAGGAGGACAGAUAAUCAGUGACAGGAGGGGCUGCUACUCACGGUCAGUGGGGGCAGAAAUAGAGGCCAGUUCUCCCAGAAGCCUCCUGGAAGGAAGCUUGACCUGGGGAAGGUGAGUUGGGGGAGGAGCAGCAGAAGCUACGCCCGGUGUAGGAGAGCAAAUGCCCCCUCCCGGCUCCCCCAGUUGACCCUUUAAGAGAUAGCCUGUCGCAGGCAGCUGUCUGUGCAUUUCUCUCCCGAGUAAAUGGAAGAUUUCUUGCUCACAGUCAAUUCUUUUUGGUUAAUAAUUCAUCUGAAACAUGCCUUUUCUCUCAGGAAACAAAAGCAUUGCAUGUCGCUAUAAAACCAUUGAAAGGAAAAUUCAGUGAUAGACCCUGCUUUCUUAAAACAAACACUGUCACAGCCUGGAGUCCUAGGGGAGGAUUUCCAAGAGAUCUUUGUGAAUGGCCACAACACAGCCUUUUGGAGGCAGAUUGCUGGGAGGACGGUUCUAGGAUCAGCUGGGAUGGGAAGGAGAUGAUUCUGGAGAUGCCAGCUCGGCUUGGCAUGUGGGUUGUGGCCGCAGGGAUGAGAGAGACGGGGUGGGGGGGCAGAUGCAGAAGGAGCACCCCCAUGGUGCCCUCACUGGGCAUUGACCUCGAUGGGAGGUGGGGUCUACUUAGCACGUUCCACACACAGACUCAGUGACUCAAACGUCAUCCUGUGACUCAACUAAUGUUCCCAAGGUCCCAGCUCUGUGCUGGGAGGUAAGGUGCUCAAGGCAUCCAGGUUGGGAGAUCCCAGAGGAAGGGGCGCCUCACCUGGACCUGGGGGCUUGAGAAGUUUUUUGGAAGGAGAUGGGCAUCCCAUGUGUUAGUCAGUGGGACUAACACGUACAGUGGCCCCCAAGUCCCCUGUCAAUAACCCAAAUUCUGGAGGGUUCCCAGCCGUGGGGAGCCCACGCGGUCUGCAUUUCAGUAGCUCCUUGCUCUGAGCUUGCUGUGACCACGGGAUGGUCAGGCCCCAGAGCCCUUGGGCGUUCUGGACCUCGUGCUCCAUCCAGGCCGCUUCCCCACCCCAGGCCUGGCAUGUACCCGUCAUCAGACAACAGGACAGCCUGGAGCUGUUAAAAGAACCCAGAACUGGGAGUCAAGACCCCCGCGUUCUGUUCCCAGCCCCAGCCCAGCUCAGUGGGUAUCACUGCCCUCAUCUUCAAAGUGAGGGUCCCUCAAGCCUCUCUCCGGUUCCCUGAGCCUUUGUUUCUCUGUCCUGGCAUGGCAGGCAGACCACUGCCACUAGGUCCUUCCACCGCCCAGACGUGUAAAUGCUGGGCCAGGGGCCAGGGCUGUGCUUGGCCUGGGCGCUUUGGUGGUGGGUGCUUCAGGCACAGCCCCUGUCUUCACUGCACACAUCCCUAGGGGGAGAAGUGGGUGUUAGAUUGCCCCCCAAAGGACCGGGAAUUACAAUGGGAGAGGACUGCCUGCAGGGGAGACCAAGGCUCUGUGAGCAGGGACGACAGAAGAACCUCUUGGUCUAGGGCGGGACAAGGACCUCAGACAAGCCGGAGUCAGCGAGAGGCAUGGAGAUCAAGCUCCAAGGUGUGGGGUGCCCAGUGCCUGGGUAGGAGGGCCAGGUGGCACCCCACAGGCCUGUGGGCCCUCAAGAGUGAGGUCGUUCUCCUAGGUGGGUUUGCAGCUUCUCUGCCGGCCACACCCUUCAUGCAGACGCCUGCGUUGCAGAGAUGGCCUCACCCCUCCCAGCCCCCUCCCUUGAGCUACCCCCACUCCCAAGGCACAGGAAGAACACCUUGCUUCCUUUGCUGGUGCAUGGCACGGGUCUUUCACCCUCUGCCACCGAUUUGCCAUUAAGCCACUCGACAACCAUUUCCUUCUAAUUUACAGGGUAUUGGCUGAAAGACCAAUAAAAGGCUGCAGAACAGUUUGGCCUAUCCUGCAGGCUGCUAAUUGCAGACAAUAAGCAAGCAUGCUGCUCCCUGGGAGUACGCUGCGGUGUGCACACGUGUGCCUGAGAGUGCCUGGGCACCCGCAUCAUUGCUGGGCUCCCGUGCACAUCAGCUUUUCGUGGUUGAGUUGCUUCCAGGAGAACAGACACUUUUGAACACCCAAGUCUCCUUGAUGGGCCUUAGAACCCACUGACCGGCAUAGGCUGCUCAGUGAGCCAGUGCUGGACCACACAUAUUUAUCGAGCACCUACUAUGUGCUGGGACCUAGACUAGAUGUCAGGGAUGUAGCGAUAAACAAGACUGGGUCCCUGCCCGCCCCCUCCUUCUGGGGGAAGCAGAUCAAACAUACACACACUGACAAAUUAAUAAAUGAAGUGCUUUAAAAGACUGAGUGCUAUGAAGAGGAAAAAAGAGAGCCUCGGGGUAAUGAGGGAGAGGAAGAGAAGGGGGUGGGAGAGGUGCUUCCGCUACCCCAAGUGUCAGGAGUGCCGUGCGUGCCUCUUGAGGCGGCUUUAUGGUUAGAAAGUAUGCUUAGGGCUUUGAACGUUCAUUAUCACUUUUUAAUUUAAUUUUUAUUUUUAUUAAAGCAACACAUGCGCAUAGUUAAAAAUGUCAAAUGAGUCACAGCCUAUUAAGAAAACCAGCAGCCCCCUGAUUGUCCCUCUUUCACCCCAAAUCUCAUUCAUAAGAGGCAAGCACUUUUUUUUUUUUUUUUUUGGCUGUGUUGGGUCUUCGUUUCUGUGCGAGGGCUUUCUCUAGUUGCGGCAAGCGGGGGCCUCUCUUCAUUGCGUUGCGCGGGCCUUUCACUGUCGUGGCCUCUCUUGUUGAGGGGCACAGGCUCCACACGCGCAGGCUCAGUAGUUGUGGCUCACGGGCCUAGUUGCUCCGCGGCAUGUGGGAUCUUCCCAGACCAGGGCUCGAACCCGUGUCCCCUGCAUUGGCAGGCAGAUUCUCAACCACUGCGCCACCAGGGAAGCCCGAGGCAACCACUUUUGGGUGUUCGUUGUUCCUUCUGGUAUUUCCCUGCAUAUUCUAAGUGAUGUGGAUACUCUAUUUACCUUUUCUUUCAAUCUGAAACAUUAUCAAUUGACUUUUCACUAUAGCAGACACAAGGUUCAGGACCCUAUCACUACCCACAGACGUACAAAGCACUUCCCCGCUUCCCAUCCGCUUCCUAUAGGUGUCUCCUGUGAGAGGUUCAGUGACUAGCCAGUGUCUCCCUUAGUAAGUGAUAAUGUAAACAUUGAUCCCAGCUGACUGAACUAUGAUUCGUUUCCUUCCCUGGAGUGAGCAAUGCCUCUUCCCAAUAUGGUCAAAUACAUCAGGUGAUCAAUCUGUCAGUUCCAUGUUUGUCUUGGAGAUCCGUCCUCCUCUGCAGGUGGAUGGUAGCUCUCUGGGCUUGAUGCACAGCUGUUGCAUUCUCCAGCAGCCUUCCAAGCUCCCCUCUGGGAACUUGCUGCCCUCAGCUCUCUCCCUCUCCUUCUCCCACUCCAGUUCUUUAUUUCUUUAGCUUGACUCCAUCGUGGAAUUUGUCCUAGAUCUUUCCUGAAUCAUAGACUCGAGAGCGAGUCAGUUUAGUGAAGUUAGUUUUCUUUUUAGAAUUGACGUGCUUUCUGGAGCUUUGGGAUGGCCCAGAAGAGGGUUAGCUCUUACUGAGUGUGUGGCAAGUCAAGAAGACCUGGUUCCCAGGCAGCUGGAAUGCCAUGGAGGAGGGCAAAGGAGAUUCCUGUGAUGUCUGAGCCACAAUAAACCUCCGUGGUCGUAGGAGGAAGCUGAGACCUGGAUGGGGACGAGACGUGGCUCAGGUCACAGAGGGGUCCAGCCCUCGUCUCACAUUCUUUGAGGAUGCAGGGAGUUGCCCUCCUGGCUUCCAGCUGAGUCCUUACUGCUCACUCAGGACCCAGCUCAAACACACCUCCUCGGACAUGGCGCCCUGGGCUGGGGUAGAUCUUUCUUCCCCGCCAAGUGCUAGAGUUGUAGCUCUCCCUGGAUUUACAUUUCUGCUUUCUGCUCUAGGUCAGUUAAUGUUGGUGUUUGCAUGUGCAUGUGCUCGUGCACGAGUGCGUGAGUGACUAUGCACACGCACGCACACGCACACAACAGGCACAUUAGACGGGGGAGUGGUCGUCCCGUCUCACUCAUCUCCUCUCUCUCCUCCACAGCGCCUGGCACACGCCUGGCAUGUGGUACUCUUCCAUGACUUCCUGUGGUGCGAAUGGAGGCUUGUUUGUACAGACUUGCCAGAGUCUGCCUUUAAAAAUGACAAACUCUAUGUACAAUUUCAGUAAACUUAGUCUUUUUGUUCCUCUCCCUCUGGGUGAGUGAAGUAGGAUCUGCUCUUAGAGUGAAUAAUGUGUGCACGGUUUUAAUGCCUGGCCUCACCCCUUCAUCAGCUUCCUGACCGUCUGCCAUGUCUGCCCCCUCCCGCCAAGCCCCUUCCCGGUACCCAAGAUCCAGUGCUCGCACACUGACUCAGCAGCCCCCUGUCACGCCCGAAGAGGCCUGGCCUCCCUGCCACGCGCACAUGACACACUCUCAGACUGAGACUGCCUCAGAGGAGGCAGGCCCUGCCAUCUGCCGCCUCCCCUUCCGCCCCAGAGGACACGCCCAGCAGCCCAGCCCUCUCUUCCCUGGCCUCUGCUGAGCUGCCUAGUCAGGGUCAGAGCAGGGGCCAGAGGAAGACCAGGUGGGCUGGGUUCAGGAUUCGGAACAGGAGUGGAACCUCUUCAUCCAGCCUCAACUUGCCAUGAACUUCCAGGAGCAAGAAAUUCACCUCGAAUCCAUCUUGCAUCCCUGGGGUCUUGAGACUGAGGUUAUCUUUUGCACCAACACCUCUUGGGACAGGUGGGGGCCUAAUGCAGUGAUUGGGUGCUUGAGACCCAGCCUUUCCCGUCUGCCACUUCUAUAGCAGUGCCACUCCCCCCAGGCCCCCAAAUCCAGCCUCUCUGGCUGGAAUUUGAGACUCUCAUGUCUGGCUGUACCGUGAAUUAAGUUAAAAGUAGUACGCUCCAGGGAGGGACCCUUUUGGCAUCGGUGUUGAGCACAGAUGCAUGGCUGUGCUCAGAAACCGUCUGACUUCCUUUGGGACCUGGGCUGGAUUCAGAGAGCUGAUUCCAGUGCUUUGCGGCAGGACCAAGACUCAACCGUCUAACUCCCGGGCCAGCACUCCUUCCCCUGAGCCACGCUGCCAUCCUCUCGGCUGUCCCAGUGGUGGGACCAACACACAGAUUUCUUCUGAGUCCCAGAUGCCACAGGAUCUCUCAUUAUUUUUACCAUCACCACACCUCUCCCUCCAAGAAGAGACUGGGCCCAGAAGGGGCUGGGGCGCAGGGUGUCCUGACCUGCCCUGGGCUGAGAUACUUACUUGGGCUUAUUUGUGCUUCUCCCCCGCCCCAUAGGGGUCCACAUGCUGUGGCGGGUGAUGGAAUCCCAUCCUGGUGGUAGGAGGCGGGCUGUAGGGACCAGCUGCUCUGUCUGCCCGGGAUCCUCGGGUCAGGAGCCCUGUGGGGUGCACCAGCGGAUGGGAGACUCAGACGGGUCCCUGCUUCUUAGGCCUUCUUUUGUCACCAGGAAGCUCCAUCCUCCCUGAACUCGUCUCUCCAGACAUUGGGGCAAGGCCAUGGGGCAGGGUGAGGGGUAGACAGGAAUCCCCGAUACAAGGAGUCCUCUGAUGGCUCCCACUGCACUCAGAAUAAGAUCCAGAUGCCUGGUCCUGCCAGCCAGGUCCCGUGGAGGACAUGAGUCCCAGAGCCUCCCCAGUGCCAUCCUUCGACUUGCUCAGCAGAUGUGGCCAAACAAGGAAGCCCUGGUGGUUGGUGGGGGGACGGUGAGCACAGGGGACGCGACUGGAGUGCGAGGUUCCCCAGCCACAUGGCUGGCUCGCCGUCCCCUGGUGGUGGCGGAGGGUGCGGGGCGGGAAGUGGGGCUGCUGCUCCUCACGGUCAGGGACGCCCUCUGUGGCCCAGAAAGGCUUUUCUUUGGCUUCUUGACGAGGUUUGGAGAAAUCUGCAGUCUACAGAGGCGUCUCAUGGUAGAACCCUGUGUGUGUGUGUGUGUGUGUGUGUGUGUGUGUGUGUGUGUGUGUGUGUGAUAUACGUGUGCAUGUGUGUGUAGUAUGUGUAUGUAUGUGGGGGCAUGUAUGAGUGUAUAUGUGUGCAUGUAUGUGUGGGUUUGUUGUGUGUGCAUAUGGGUGUGUGUGUGAUGUGCGUGCAGUGUGGUAUGUGUGGGUGCAUGUGUGCGUAGGUAUGUGUGUGUGUGUCCGGAGUGGGCUGUGGAGAGGAUGAAUGCCUUUGGAAGAGGGGGUCUGAGACCUCCAACCUCACUUCGCUGAGAAUGACCCUCCGUGGGGUGCGUGAGACAAGAAACCAGCCGACAGCCUCCCUCUCGAGCCCUCAGAGCUGUUCUUCGCUUCCAGUUACCCCCAGAGCAGGGGCUGCGGGUGGGGCCUGUGGCAGCCUUGCCGGCGUUGACCGAGAGGGCUCCGCCCUGCCCAGGCUGGACCAGCCGCUGUUCCGCAGGCAGUGAGGCAUCGGCGCCGCCCUCCAAGCAGAGAACGGGGGGCCCCCUGUGCACCAGGCCGGGGUGGGGUGGGCGUGGGGUCUCAAGGUGGGAGACCUCACCCUCCGACAGCUGGGAGUCGGGCACAGAGCCAAGGAAGCGCUCACUUCCCUUUCUCUUGGUUUUAGGAACCAGGCCAUGUAGGCAGCCGUUUGCGCCCAUCUCUUCCCACACAGACCGGGUGGAAAGGCCUUUCUUUGGUUUAGCGGGACCUCCCCGGCUGGCUCACGGAGGGGCCCGGCUGGGUCCGCACGAGCCUCCCUAGCACUUCAGGAGCCCUGCAGGGCGCACACUAGGUGGGAAGUCUGUGCGGACUGGAGACCGCUGGCUGCUCCCCGCUGACCCCUUUCCAACCGCAGUACUGAGAGCUAACACACACUUACGGAGCGCUUACUGUAUGCCAGGUGCUCAUCUAGGGGCUUGACACGAAUUAACGUAUUUAAUCCUCCCCACGGGCCUAUGAAAUGGACACCAUUAUUGUGCCCAUUUUAUAGACCAGGAAACUGAGGCCUAGAGAGGUUAAGUGGCUUGCCCAAGGUCACACAGCUAGAAAGUGGUGGAGCUGGGUUUACUGAGCCUGAUUCUUCCUCCCAGCACUUCUGCAGCGUCACCCUGAAGAGCCGUGCUUAGAGAGAGGACGGAGAUGGGGUUCAAGGCAGAGGCUUGUCCUGCCGUAGGUAAAACUCCAGCUUCCACCGGGCUCCAGUGAACCCCGGAAGGGCUUCAGGACUGGGCUCCCCAGGGAGCAGAGUGGACGGGGGCUCAGCUCCAGCGGGGAGGGGGGCAGACCAAGUUCACUUCUCAGAAAAGCCCUUGGGGCAGCUACUUCUCCCCUCAGCGCACCCAGGCCCUGGGACUGCUCCUGAGGCAGUGUUGCGCCAGCCAAAUGUUGCCUUCUUUGCUGGGUGGAGCCGCUGCCGAGACCCCCUUUCCUGUCUGGGAAGCUGGCUGAGUCACUGAGGAGGCCCUGGAGCUCUCUCCUGGCCCUGCCCCCAGUGUCCCUCCAGCCACUCCCUCUGAGCCACCGUUGCCCCCAAGGCCCCGGGAAUGCAAAGGGGUCUCCCAGCCAGCAACCUGCGUUAGCAAUGUCUCCUCUCCUCCUGACAGAAGGAAUCCUGCUCAGUUCCUACCUACUCCCUAAAAAGGGCAGGAAGGGCUUCCCUGGUGGCGCAGUGGUUGAGAGUCCGCCUGCCGAUGCAGGGGACACGGGUUCGUGCCCCAGUCCGGGAGGAUCCCACAUGCCAUGGAGCGACUGGGCCCGUGAGCCAUGGCCGCUGGGCCUGCGCGUCCGGAGCCUGUGCUCCGCAACGGGAGAGGCCACAACAGUGAGAGGCCCGCGUACCGCAAAAAAAAAAAAAAAAAAAAGGGCAGAAACUCUGUGCCCUCCAGGCUUUGUCCAUUUCCCUGUGAGUUCCAGGACCCCUUCAUCUCUUCAUUAUCCACCCCGCUUUUUUUCUUUUUUUUGGCUGUGCCACGAAGCAUAUGGGAUCUUAAUUCCCUGUCCAGGGAUCAAACCUGUGCCCCCUGCAGUGGAAGCGCAGAGUCUUAACCACUGGACCACCAGGGAAGUCCCUCAUUAUCCACCCUUGAAGGCCCUUAAGCCUCAUCUCCCCUGCCCUGGACCCAUUGCAGCUGAGUUUUCAGACCUAGCCCAAGAGUGAAUAUUUAUUAGGGAGAAAAACAGAAAAAUCUUUGGGCCCAGAGAUUUUUGCCUCUAUUUUCUGGAACCCUGAUUCUGAUGAAAUCCCUCUAUAUUAAUGAUAAAUUUAGGAAUCUCACUUAAGUCCAUCGGUGGCCUCAUGUUAGGGGCAACAAAGGAUCCUACUGUAAGAAUAUGCAUCCCCACACCCGAUUUUCCAGGCUGGGUAAAACUCCCUGAGUCAGAAAUCAAGCCCACCCAGCGAGGUCAGAGCUGCUUGAGGCCCCUGGAAAGGGGUGGGUGGGACAGGAGGAAAGGUAAAGGAGACGGAGGGAGAAAGGCGCAGGGAAGAGGUCAACUCAGAGUCCGUCAUUUCCAGGAGCCCAUCACAAACACGGCAACUUGUCUGAGCCCUUUCUGAAUUCCAGACAGUGUCUGUGAGCAUCUACAUAGAUGGGGUGUUCAGACCCUAGAACAUAGCAUGUGCUGGGUUAAAGCAAAAUGCGACAGGCUUCUGGGAGGACUCUUGAGAACCCUGGGGAAUCUCCAAGAGGAGGACGGAGGAGGGCCUUCCUAAGGUGAUUGGACCACAGAGCCCUUUUGGCAGGGGGCGGGGUGGGGGGGAAUGCCUGCUUUACCAUCAGUAGCAGCAGGAUGCUGAUUCAGCAGAAAGAUGUCUGGACCAGGACAUGGUAGUGGGUGGUGUUCCAGGUCCCACCAUAAACUAGCUGGGAGGUCCUUGGGCAAGUCACAGCUCUCCCUAAGCCUCAGCUGCCCCGUGAAAUGAAUCCCAUAACUUCAGGCCUAUCUUCUUCAGGGGACCGUUGUGAGAGGGGACAACCACAGGGGACGUGUGAUAACCAUGUCACCUCUGAACAGGCCUGGUAGUCCCACCCCGUGAAACUACUGAUAAGCUGCUCACAGACCCUCCCUCCCCUAAACUAAUCACCAAGGCCCUUAUCCCACAGGCAUCAAACAGUCUCCACCUACCAGGCCUUCUCCUGAUGGGUUUGGGGAGGCUCUGAGGACAUUUGAGAAGGCAGAUGCAAUCAGUCCCUAGGCUUUCAACCAUGACCGCAAGAGUUCAACUUAGACAACACACAAAGCCAGUUCAGGCGCAAUCCCAGCAUUAUUGGGGAUACAGGAGGUGUCCGAGCUGCUGCCUCAUGGGCCUCAGAUCCACCCAAGAGACAGCAGGAUUGUGGCAUGGGGUCGGGCUACGCAGCAUGUAUGGCAUGGACCUGUUGGGAGGCUGUGGCCACUCGGGCCUGGGGCUGGGCGCCGAAGCCCUCCUGAGCCAUGCAAGAGAGGAGGUGGGAUUUGAGCCAGGCCAGAAAGCCGUGCUGUGAAUUCAGAGUCUCAGCGGAGUGGGCACGAGCCUUCUCAAAGCCAUCCUCCCAGCCUUCCCAAUGCCCUGCGUUCGUAAGACGAAUGGCUCCUGGGGUUAAAGGGCCUCUGGAGUGAGUUUCAAAUGGCUCGAUGUGAAGCGUUUGAGAACCACUGGGGUGCACUAGUUUAGUCUGGACAUUCGCCAUCACCACAACCACCACCGUUACCAUCUCUACCGUCAUCAUUAUUACCACUAUCUUCAACUGCACCACCAUUACUAUUACCACUGUCAUCAUCGCCAUCAUCACCACCACCAUGACCACCACUCUCAUCACCACCAUCAACUCCACCAGGACCUCCACCCCCAUUACUAUUACCACCACUUCCACCCACCAUCACUACCACCUUUACCAUCAGUGCCACCACCCCUGUCAUCACCAUCACCGCCUCCACCACCAUUACCACCAUUACCACCAUCCACUUCAUCACAUUUUCCACCUGCCUUUGAUCACACAGAGAUAAGAUUAUAAAGUCCAACUACUAGCACCUCUCCUCUCUUAACCGUCUGCACCCCAAAUAUUCAUCGUCAUGUCUGUCGGCUCAUAAUCAAAGAGACCAACCCAAGCCUGAUAUCAUACUAGGCUGAGCGUACAUUCUGGUUUGUCCAGUACAGUUCCAAAUCCUGCCUGUUGUCCCUGCUUCAUUAUUCACGGCUCCCCUCUUUCACUGUCAGCUACGUUUGCAUGACAUUAUAUUGUCACCCUAGUUUAACACCACAUCCCGCUUCUGAUUGAGUCCCACGAAGAUUAGCACCCCAAGGAUGCUGACCUGGAACAGAGCCUGGCGGGAAAACUAGGAGGGUGAGAUACCCCUCGCCAGGCAUCGAUAACUAAUGGAUACCCCUGCCUCCCCCUCCCUUGCCUUCCCGCUGCUGCACCGGCCCCCAGGAAACCCCUGAGAAAAGAGGAAAACGGCACCGGUGUUGCUGAGUAUCCCAUGACCUCCUCGCACAGCAACAAAGGGGUGGACGUGAACAGCGCCGUGGUGUGAGUCUGCAGGCCCUGGGCCGCUGGCCAGAGGGGCACCUCGGCGGCACUAGUGGACACAGGAAAGCAGGUGGACACGAGCUGACACUGGGCUUGUCGGGACUUCAUUGCCUUGCAGGCCUCGAGCCUCCCGAAGGAGAAACCAUACUCUGCCCAGCCUUGCCCCCUGGUCAGGCCGUGGGCAGGGGCAGCGGACACCAUGCUGAGCCAGGCUCACCUGCGUGCAGCACCCGGGGCAGCGCUGCCACCCGCGGCCCCAUCUCUUCCUUGUCUUGCGUUUGAUCCGUUGACUGUCUCCGGGCUGCUGUCUAAAGCACACGCUCUGAGAAGGCAGGGAGUCUGUCUGCUGGGGCGGGGAGGCAUCCCCCUUUAGCCAAAAGGAAACCUCUCCUCCCCCCCAGGAAGCCCGCCUGCUUCUUCCUUGACAAAGCUGUCCCCAGCAGAAGCCAAGGGCGCAUCCGUGAGACGUCCCCGUUCAAAGGUGCUUCCCACACAUCUGUCCGCCGCCCCGUCUGCAGCUGUCUCAGUCUUCAGGGCCUGCCUUCUCCCUCCCGUCCCCACCGACGCCUGGGGCCCCUGUCUGCUGACCCCCUGCCACGGAGGGCCGUGAGCCCAGCCUACAGAGUCCCCUCCGGACCCAGCAGAGGGGCCCAUUCACACCCCGGGGUGGAGUCUGGCCGUCCAGGGAAAAACGACUCACUGAACCUCAGACCCGGGGCCUGGGAAUGGCAGGGGCCACUACGCCUGUCCUCAGGUUCAUUCCCUCACCUGACCCUCAGAGGAACCAACGCUUCCAUGUGAGCCAGGCCCUGCCUUUCCCCCGGCAGAGGCUGCCACUUGUGCCAAACCCACCGCCGGCCCUCUGGGCUGGGCCCACCCUGCCUGGCGCUGGGGCCCCUGAUGCUCCCCUGAGGCCUGGUACCCAGACCCUUCCCUUAGAGUCUCCAGGCCUCCCGUCACCCAGAAGGAGGCAGUGUUCUUCCUGUGGCUUGCUUUGAAUGUCUUUUAUGUUCUAAAAGCGCUGAACCCUCCAGAGUGGUUGGUAGAUGAAGGGAAGAAAAGGAGAUGUGAGGAGAGGGACCCUCCAGGCCUGGUGACCCCCAUCUACUGGCCCGGUGACCCCCAUCGGCCAGCCUCUUUGGCAGUCGGCCACCUGCCCCGUGGGCACAUUGCUAGGCCCUUGGAGACAGCAGCCUUGUGGUUCUGCACAGCCCAUGCGCUGGGAGAACACGCCCCGCGGUUCCCUCACCGCCCACACACCUGCUGAGAAGGGACCCGACCCAGCCAGCGGCUCCACUGGCUGGCUAUGUAGGGACUUAGCCUGGGGACCCUGACCGCCUCCUAAGCCAUCAGUGUCGUUCUCUGGGGGGUGUUUGGGCCACAGGUGAGACUUUCCCAUCCAGGGGAGACUGAUAGACCGAAAACCAGUCCCCAUUUGGGCUGAACCUUGAAACAUCCAUUGUCCAGGAGCCCUGGUGCCCACGGAGUUGUCUGUGGGCCAAGCGCAGGGAAAAAGGUGAGUGUGCUGUGACCCUGACCAGGUCCUGCUCCCAGGUCAGCGGGUACAGGCUGAGGACAGGUCCAGGGCAGACUCUCCCAGAAAGGAUUUUUCCUGCUUUUCCAUUUUCCCCGUGCGUUGAGGCCUGAGUGUGGGUGUGGAUUGGAUUUUGCUCUCCCUGUGCACCUUAGCACAGGGCCACCUGUGGCCUGCAUCCCUGGUGAGCACGUGGCAGUACUCACGGUUCAUGCCCUCCAGUUCCCAAGGAUGCAGACCUGGGUGACAAGUGGGCCAGAGGCUGUGGGUCCUCAGCGGGGCACACCCCACCCCAGCGCACUUCCCCCACUGCCUGCAGCCUCCUGCUAAGUUCCCCCUGAUCCCUGAACAGAGACCCAGGCAGGACCCCAGCCCUAAGCACACGCCAUCCUGGGUUCGGAAGUGAUAGGAGAGCACCUUCAGGCAGAGGGAAGGAUCCGAGCUAAGGGAUCGUGGAGUGCUGGACAGCCAGUCUCGGGGGGACCCCGAGGGGGGCAGGUCACAGCACGGCUUUUGCACAAACCUACUGGUCCACCUUCCCCAACCCGAGCUUAAAUUUAGGAGGCCCGGAUUUUGCAAUUAGCCUAAUCCUCCAGCCCCGGCGAGGCUCCCCACGAGGAACCCCAGUGGACCAUCCAUCCAUCACUCUGGGGCCAGUAUCCCCUUCCCUGGAGACACACAGCCAGGGCUCCAUGAAAAGCUAACGUUUGUGCGUAAAUUCCCCCAAAUUGGGUUUGUCAAAUCUCCUCUCACCAGUUAGUGAAAACUAAGAGAAGGGCCCAGUUUUUAAAAGAGAAUUCACUUGAGAACAAACCCAGAACCGGCCAUUUGGAAGACAGCUGUCACGGGUGCAGGGGGAGAGCCCCACUGGAUUUUCAGCUUAAGCAACAGAAGCAACAAUAAAACUACCCCAGCCUGGUGUUUGAGCUUAGAACUUUAAUUUAAGGAGUGUAUCUGCAGCCCCUAAACACGGACCAAUCCUCAGACUAGUCUGAACUUUCGAGAACGAAAUGCACAUUCCUUCUCUGCAUUUUCUCAAAUAGGUAUUUUUCAACCGUCUCCUAGUUGAGCCCAACUUUCGAGUGGCAUAUAGAUCUCCCAGAGUUUUCAGGUGUUCCUUAGACGCUUCUAAAGUCAGUUUUAGAAGAAAGACUAAUAGCUGUAAAAAUAUAGACAUAUAUAUUAUAUAUAGUUAUAUAUAUAUAUUUAAAGAGAUAUCUAUAUCUAUAUCUAUAUAUAAUUACUGUACUCUCUGAAUCUGUACAAAGUAUGAUUUAAACAGCCCAGGUAGUGUGAGAUAUCCAAUGCAUGAAUGUAAAUACCCUGAGACCUGCCUUCCUAACCGUGUGCCGAGAGUACCCGGGAAGAUGGCUCUUAUUCCCAGGAGUUCUGUCUCAAUGGACAAAUACACGCAUCGGUGCCGUCUUGCCCACCAACAAGCCACCGAUGUCGACUCUGUGCUGAGAUGUUGCACAGGAAGCAGGACCGGCAGCGCUGGGCGUGGGCUCUGUGUUACUUACGACGAAGAAAGCAUCAUACCUUUUUAUUUUCAAUAAAAAUAUACUUAUAAA
Molecule: RNA transcript, 22915 nt
Organism: Orcinus orca (killer whale)
Lineage: Eukaryota; Metazoa; Chordata; Mammalia; Artiodactyla; Delphinidae
Gene: PRIMA1
Gene name: proline rich membrane anchor 1
Exons: 3
Source: RefSeq, a predicted model, not a curated record